Molecule: ribosomal RNA, 1010 nt
Filed under: Flavobacterium sp. S13
Lineage: Bacteria; Pseudomonadati; Bacteroidota; Flavobacteriia; Flavobacteriales; Flavobacteriaceae
Description: bacterial SSU rRNA
Rfam family: Bacterial small subunit ribosomal RNA
Source: RNAcentral
GUCUUCGGAUAUAGAGACCGGCGCACGGGUGCGUAACGCGUAUGCAAUCUACCUUUUACAGGGGGAUAGCCCAGAGAAAUUUGGAUUAAUACCCCAUAGUAUACAGAGUUGGCAUCAGCCUUGUAUUAAAGUCACAACGGUAAAAGAUGAGCAUGCGUCCCAUUAGCUAGUUGGUAAGGUAACGGCUUACCAAGGCUACGAUGGGUAGGGGUCCUGAGAGGGAGAUCCCCCACACUGGUACUGAGACACGGACCAGACUCCUACGGGAGGCAGCAGUGAGGAAUAUUGGACAAUGGGCGCAAGCCUGAUCCAGCCAUGCCGCGUGCAGGAUGACGGUCCUAUGGAUUGUAAACUGCUUUUGUACGAGAAGAAACACUGCUUCGUGAAGCAGCUUGACGGUAUCGUAAGAAUAAGGAUCGGCUAACUCCGUGCCAGCAGCCGCGGUAAUACGGAGGAUCCAAGCGUUAUCCGGAAUCAUUGGGUUUAAAGGGUCCGUAGGCGGUUUAGUAAGUCAGUGGUGAAAGCCCAUCGCUCAACGGUGGAACGGCCAUUGAUACUGCUGAACUUGAAUUAUUAGGAAGUAACUAGAAUAUGUAGUGUAGCGGUGAAAUGCUUAGAGAUUACAUGGAAUACCAAUUGCGAAGGCAGGUUACUACUAAUGGAUUGACGCUGAUGGACGAAAGCGUGGGUAGCGAACAGGAUUAGAUACCCUGGUAGUCCACGCCGUAAACGAUGGAUACUAGCUGUUGGGAGCAAUCUCAGUGGCUAAGCGAAAGUGAUAAGUAUCCCACCUGGGGGAGUACGUUCGCAAGAAUGAAACUCAAAGGAAUUGACGGGGGCCCGCACAAGCGGUGGAGCAUGUGGUUUAAUUCGAUGAUACGCGAGGAACCUUACCAAGGCUUAAAUGUAGAUUGACCGUUUUGGAAACAGAACUUUCGCAAGACAAUUUACAAGGUGCUGCCAUGGUUGUCGUCAGCUCGUGCCGUGAGGUGUCAGGUUAAGUCCUAUAA